Carica papaya (papaya) is the source of this 2964-nucleotide non-coding RNA. The record is from RefSeq and is a predicted model, not a curated record. Lineage: Eukaryota; Viridiplantae; Streptophyta; Magnoliopsida; Brassicales; Caricaceae.
UAUUCUUACCAUCCACCUAAACAGAGUCAUAGUCUCACCACCGGCUUGCCGCCCUACUUGUUCUUCGGCCUACCCGACCCACUAUUCUCCAUUCUCUGUUCGCGUACGGUAAUUUGCGCUGCUCCUUUGCGCACGGCCGUCUAGUUCACAAUGUUUUAUGUUCCUCUGGCUGUUGCUCAAAAUCCCAGCCCUUCCCCGACCUGAUCGACUUGAAAUCGCUGUGAUUUUUCUCUUGUCGAGAUCAGGUUCUCUUCACGCGGCUGCGCGCGAUCUUUGAUUUUUUUCCAGCAGUGCGACUGUGUCUCGCCCUGCACCAGCAAGUUUACCUGAUUUUGUCAGAAUCCAAUCACGAUUUCUCCUCUCGCGGGACGCAUCUGCCUCUGUCCAGACUUGUCUAUCUCGGAUCCAACUCUGGUUCUCCUGUCUCGCUGGACAUACUUGUCUCCGGUGAUCUUCUCUAGUCUCACAGUGCUUUUCGUCUCCGUUGGUUAGGAGGUUUAUUCUAUCCAUGUGAGAUUCAUUAUUGGUUAUUAUUUUUUGUGUUUUUAGUAGUCAAAAAUGUCAGAAGCAAAAAAAAUAAUUUAUCCUAGUUUUGAUAACCCAUCAUCACAAAUCAUUUCUUAUUAGAACAAACUUUUUCUUAUGUUCACUAAGAAGAAAGCAGAAGAAAUAUCAUGCUUUAUGUAGUACUAGUUGAGAAAGCUGAGUUAAUUGUUCAGUCUGAUUAAUUCAAAGAUCGAAAGAGUUAUGAUUAUUGUGACAAAUCGAGACAUACUAAGGAAACUUACUAAAAAUUACAAAGACGACCAACUAGAGGUUGUGGGGGAAGGAAAGGUGGACCUAUGAGAGCUCAAAUAAACUUAGUUGGGACAAGAAAAGCACCUAAAAUACUAACAGUUGGAACUUUUUCAAUCGAAGAGAUUUGAAACCUGAAGUGUAUUAUGUCUCAACUUAACUCUUCAUCAACUAUUGGUGCAUCAGAUAUAACAAAAUCAUGUAUUCAUUCUUUUCCUCUUAUUCCUGCUACUGAUAUUUGGAUUAUAAACUCUGGAGUUAACAGAUACAUGAUAGACUGUUUCAAAGAAUGUCUUUCCUAUUUUUUCUUGUUCGUAUAAUAGAUGGAUCAUACACUCUUAUUCCGGAAUAGAGUCUAUUAAUUGUAUGUCAAAUAUUAUACUAUCUUCUGUUUUAUAUAUGCCUAGUUUUCCUAAUAACCUUUUAUCUACUAGUAUUAUUAUUGGAGAUCUAAAUUGUAAAAUUGAAUUUUUUUUUCUGAUUAUUAUAUCUUUUAGGAUCUUUGAAUAGGAAAGAUGAUUGACUAUAGUAGACUGCAGGAUGACUUAUAUGUCUUAAAAAGAAGUCAGAACCUAAUUAGGAAUCAAGCCACCAUUGAGAAUAAGGAAGUAAAUUUAGAAAUAUUAAAAUGACCUCGACGGUUGGGACUACCUUCUUUUUUUGUUUUACAAAAAUUAUAUCUUAAUUUAUUUAACAUAACUUCGAUGGAUUCUUUAUUUUGUGAUGAGUGUGAAUUUGCUAAACAUAAAAGGAGUUCUUACUAUUUGAGUAAUAAUAGAAAUUCUAAUUCUUUUAUGAUUAUUCACUCUGAUGUGCGGGAAUCUAUUCAUGAUACCUCUUUAUCUGGUCACCGAUGGUUUACUUUUAUUGACUGUUGUAUUAGAUUAAUAUGAAUUUACUUGUUGAAAGCAAAAAAUAAUGUAUUUUCAUGCUUUCAAUUAUUUCAUAAAAUAAUAUAUACACUGUUUGACGUUAAAGUUAAGAUUUUGAGAACUAAUAAUGGUAUAGAAUAUAUAGAUAGUACGUUCCAUACCCAUUUAGAGUCAUGGGGGAUAAUUCACCAGAUAAGUUGUGUCUACACUAGUGAAUAAAAUGAGGUUACUAAAAAGAAAAACAUACACAUAUUCGAGGUAACUUGGUUACUAAUAUUCAUCAUGAAUUUACCUAAAAGUUAUUGCAGGAAAUGUAGUUCUCUCAGUAACCUAUCUUAUUAAUAGAAUGCUUUUACGAGUCCUCAAUUUUAUAAGUAUUUUGGAGGUUUUGCAAUGAAACAAUUCCCAUACUGUUCCCCUAAAAGUGUUUGGAUGUAUUUGUUUUGUCAAUGCUAGAAAUGUGAGUAAGUUAGAACCUACAGCUCUCAAAUGCAUAUUUAUUAUAUAUUCUCCUACCCAAAAUAGUUACAAGUGUUAUCAUCCAUCGUUUAGAAAAUACUUUGUGAUUAUGGAUGUUACUUUUAGAGAAUUUGAACCCUACUUCAGCUCCAACCCAACACUUCUUCAAGGGGAGAGUGAGAAGGAAGAGGUGAUGUUCGGUUCGGUAACUCUUGACAAUCAUAUUCAGGGGGAGAGUUCUAUGUUAGAAAAUUUUAUUUAAGAAGAAAAUAAUGGACACUUGAAUAAACCGAACUUGAAGAGGUAUUUAAGGAGAGAUAAAAUAGAAAAAACCAUCAUGCAGUCUAUCCCAAGUCAAGAAUAUUCUUCAGUUCCUGAAGACACUGGUGAGUUAUCUUUAUCUUGUGAUUUAUCUGAUAAACUCGUUACUCUUAGAAGAGGUAUUCAAGGAGAGAUAAGAUAGAAAAAAAUAUCAUGCAGUUUAUUCCAGAUCAAGAAUCUUCUUCAGUUCCUGAAGAUAUUUGUGAGUUAUCUUACAUUGUGAUUUAUCUAAUAAAUCCCUUAUUCUUAGAAAAGGAAUAAAGAUUUGCAUUAAGCAUCCUAUAUCUAACUUUAUUUCCUAUAGCUCUUUAUCUCCUUUCUAUAGAGCUUUUGUCUUGUCAUUUCCUUUGUGUCUAUUCCACAGAAUUGAAGGAAAAUUUUAGGAGAUCUCAAAUAAAAGGAAGUGAUGACUGAAGAAAUGAAAGCAUUAAUAAGGAAUGAAAUAUGAGAGCUUAUUUCACAUCCACAAGGAUAGAAGAUGGUUGGUUGCAAAUGAGUGUUCACUGUAAAACACAAA